This 730-nucleotide ribosomal RNA is filed under the name Naganishia vaughanmartiniae. RNAcentral describes it as "eukaryotic LSU rRNA". The stretch from base 167 to 320 matches the Rfam family "5.8S ribosomal RNA". Lineage: Eukaryota; Fungi; Basidiomycota; Tremellomycetes; Filobasidiales; Filobasidiaceae. The record is from RNAcentral.
GUAGGUGAACCUGCGGAAGGAUCAUUAAUGAUGCCCUCGAAGUCUUUGGACUGGUAGGGUUUGUGUCGGUCUCUUCGGAGUCGACCUUAUCUCACACACCGUGAACUGUGGCUUCGGCCAUUUACACAAACUGUUAGUAAUGAAUGUAACAUCAUAACAAACAUAAAACUUUUAACAACGGAUCUCUUGGCUCUCGCAUCGAUGAAGAACGCAGCGAAAUGCGAUAAGUAAUGUGAAUUGCAGAAUUCAGUGAAUCAUCGAAUCUUUGAACGCACCUUGCGCCCUUUGGUAUUCCGAAGGGCAUGCCUGUUUGAGUGUCAUGAAACCUCACCCCACUUGGGUUUUUGCCCGAGCGGUGGUGGAUUGGGUGUCUGCCGUUACUGGCUCACCUUAAAAGCAUAAGCAACUUUGGAUGUAAUACGUUUCAUCCUUACGAGUGGCUGAUAACCCCACAUAACUCAUGAUCUGGCCUCAAAUCAGGUAGGGCUACCCGCUGAACUUAAGCAUAUCAAUAAGCGGAGGAAAGGAUCAUUAAUGAUGCCUCGAAGUCUUUGGACUGGUAGGGUUUGUGUCGNCUCUUGGAGUCGACUUAUCUCACACACCGUGAACUGUGGCUUCGCCAUUUACACAAACUGUUAGUAAUGAAUGUAAAUCAUAACAAACAUAAACUUUUAACAACGGAUCUCUUGGCUCUCGCAUCGAUGAAGACGCAGCGAAAUGCGAUAGUAAU